AACAAAGUUGUAAACAAAGAACAUUUCGAGUUUGGUCUUUCUCCCCUUCAUGCAAAAAUACGCUUCUUUGAAUACUUUUUACAUAUAUCUUACAAGUCCUCCGUCAAGAUGUGGCAGGUGAGAGAUCCGGAAAAAAAAUUGGAAGUAAUGAAAAGAAAGCAAAAAAUUCAAAAAGAAUUUCGCGAAAAAAUGGGAUUAAUAGUUGACAAGCCCAGAGAUGGGGGUAGAGGAUCAUCAAACGACGGAAAUGUCGCUAGAAAAUUCUUUUCUAAUCCAAAAUUGGCAUCUGAUAUUACAGGAAUAGAUGAAAACUUGAUCCAUCGUUGUGCCACUAUACUUCAAGCUAUUGCAUCGGGCUACAAAAUUAAUGCCAAGAAAUUUAAUGAAUACGCUUUAGAAACUGCCAAGCAACUGACAAAAAAAUAUUCAUGAACAUGCAAUUAUAUCAAUUGGAGAGCUUUCCGAGGAAGCUGCGGAAUCAAACAACAAAGAAAUUAAAAAAUGUAGACUUUAUCACAGCCGGAAAAUGUCACGGAUUAUUACAAACACCGACAUUUUGAAUGCACUCCUUCUACGCUCCGAUCCGUUUAUAACCGGACAGAGGGACCUUGAGAAAAAGGAUAAGUCAACUUUGCUUGAAUCUGUUUAUAGUUUGCUAGAGGAAACAUUGUAAAAUUAAUAAUAAAGUAUUAAAUUAA
Molecule: long non-coding RNA, 698 nt
Organism: Drosophila santomea
Lineage: Eukaryota; Metazoa; Arthropoda; Insecta; Diptera; Drosophilidae
Exons: 2
Source: RefSeq, a predicted model, not a curated record